AUUCCAGCUCCAAUAGCGUAUAUUAAUGUUGUUGCAGUUAAAAAGCUCGUAGUCGGAUUUCGGAGUGGGUCGGCAGCUGGGCCCAAUGGUUCAUGUUGUUUGACUCGCUCUUCCUUCCGGGAGCUGAGUCUGCUAUUCAUUUAGUGGGCCCAGAAAUCGGAACUUUUACUUUGAAAAAAUUAGAGUGUUCAAAGCAGGCAUAUGCCUUGAAUAUAUUAGCAUGGAAUAAUCGAAUAGGACUUUGGUUCUAUUUCGUUGGUUUCUAGGACCGAAGUAAUGAUCAAAAGGAACAGUUUGGGAUGUUCGUACUUCGUUGUCAGAGGUGAAAUUCUAAGAUUUACGAAAGACGAACUUCUGCGAAAGCAUUCAUCAGGGAUGUUUUCAUUG
Molecule: ribosomal RNA, 387 nt
Filed under: Calcarea sp.
Lineage: Eukaryota; Metazoa; Porifera; Calcarea
Description: partial small subunit ribosomal RNA
Rfam family: Eukaryotic small subunit ribosomal RNA
Source: RNAcentral